AGUGAACGCUGGCGGUAGGCCUAACACAUGCAAGUCGAACGGCAGCACAGUAAGAGCUUGCUCUUACGGGUGGCGAGUGGCGGACGGGUGAGGAAUACAUCGGAAUCUACUUUUUCGUGGGGGAUAACGUAGGGAAACUUACGCUAAUACCGCAUACGACCUACGGGUGAAAGCAGGGGAUCUUCGGACCUUGCGCGAUUGAAUGAGCCGAUGUCGGAUUAGCUAGUUGGCGGGGUAAAGGCCCACCAAGGCGACGAUCCGUAGCUGGUCUGAGAGGAUGAUCCGCCACACUGGAACUGAGACACGGUCCAGACUCCUACGGGAGGCAGCAGUGGGGAAUAUUGGACAAUGGGCGCAAGCCUGAUCCAGCUAUACCGCGUGGGUGAAGAAGGCCUUCGGGUUGUAAAGCCCUUUUGUUGGGAAAGAAAAGCAGCAGGUUAAUACCCCGCUGUUCUGACGGUACCCAAAGAAUAAGCACCGGCUAACUUCGUG
RNAcentral lists this ribosomal RNA (492 nucleotides) under uncultured bacterium. RNAcentral describes it as "partial 16S ribosomal RNA". It matches the Rfam family "Bacterial small subunit ribosomal RNA", at positions 29 to 507 of the family's 1533-position model. The record is from RNAcentral.